GUUAUAGGAUCAAGCGACUAAGUGCAUGUGGUGGAUGCCUUGGCGAUCACAGGCGAUGAAGGACGUGUAAGCCUGCGAAAAGCGUGGGGGAGCUGGCAAUAGAGCUUUGAUCCCACGAUGUCCGAAUGGGGAAACCCACCCCGCAAGGGGUAUCCCAGACUGAAUCCAUAGGUCUGAGGAGGCGAACCGAGCGAACUGAAACAUCUAAGUAGCUCGAGGAAAAGAAAUCAACCGAGAUUCCGCAAGUAGUGGCGAGCGAACGCGGAAGAGCCUGCACGACUAAACCAUCAGCUUAGCAAAACGGUCUGGAAAGUCCGACGAUACAGGGUGAUAGUCCCGUAUGCGAAAAGCCGGUGGCGGGUCUGAGCGUGCGACAAGUAGGGCGGGACACGAGAAAUCCUGUCUGAAGAUGGGGGGACCAUCCUCCAAGGCUAAAUACUCGUGAUCGACCGAUAGUGAACCAGUACCGUGAGGGAAAGGCGAAAAGAACCCCGGGAGGGGAGUGAAAUAGAUCCUGAAACCGCAUGCAUACAAACAGUGGGAGCCUCGUAAGGGGUGACUGCGUACCUUUUGUAUAAUGGGUCAGCGACUUACGUUCAGUUGCGAGCUUAACCGAAUAGGGGAGGCGUAGCGAAAGCGAGUCUGAUAAGGGCGUCAGAGUAGCUGGGCGUAGACCCGAAACCGGAUGAUCUAUCCAUGGCCAGGAUGAAGGUGCCGUAACAGGUACUGGAGGUCCGAACCCACUAACGUUGAAAAGUUAGGGGAUGAGCUGUGGAUAGGGGUGAAAGGCUAAACAAAUCCGGAAAUAGCUGGUUCUCCCCGAAAACUAUUUAGGUAGUGCGUCGUACGGACACUUGCGGGGGUAGAGCACUGUAAUCGUUGGGGGGGUCAUUGCGAUCUACCCCGCGAUAGCAAACUCCGAAUACCGCAAAGUGAUAUACGGCAGACAGACAUCGGGUGCUAACGUCCGGUGUCAAGAGGGAAACAACCCAGACCGCCAGCUAAGGUCCCAAAUGCAUGGCUAAGUGGCAAACGAGGUGGGAAGGCAUAGACAGCUAGGAGGUUGGCUUAGAAGCAGCCACCCUUUAAAGAAAGCGUAAUAGCUCACUAGUCGAGUCGUCCUGCGCGGAAGAUGUAACGGGGCUCAAGCCAUGAACCGAAGCUGCGGAUGUGUCUUUGACACGUGGUAGGGGAGCGUUCCGUAAGCCUGCGAAGGUGUCUCGUAAGGGAUGCUGGAGGUAUCGGAAGUGCGAAUGCUGACAUGAGUAGCGAUAAAGGGUGUGAAAAGCACCCUCGCCGUAAGCCCAAGGUUUCCUGCGCAACGUUCAUCGGCGCAGGGUGAGUCGGCCCCUAAGGCGAGGCAGAAAUGCGUAGUCGAUGGGAAACAGGUCAAUAUUCCUGUACCGCUCUAUGAUGCGAUGGGGGGACGGAGAAGGUUAGCUCGGCCAUCUGUUGGAAUAGGUGGUUUAAGCGUGUAGUCGUGCCGCGUAGGCAAAUCCGCGUGGCUUAGAUGAGGCGUGAUGACGAGGAUCCUCGGAUCCGAAGUGAGUGAUACCCAGCUUCCAGGAAAAGCCUCUAAGCUUCAGUCAUAGAGUGACCGUACCGCAAACCGACACAGGUGGGCUGGUAGAGAAUACCAAGGCGCUUGAGAGAACUCAGGAGAAGGAACUCGGCAAAUUGAUACCGUAACUUCGGGAGAAGGUAUGCCCCUGGUACGUGAAGGCCCUCGCGGCCGGAGCGGAACGGGGUCGCAGAGAAUCGGUGGCUGCGACUGUUUAUUAAAAACACAGCACUCUGCAAACACGAAAGUGGACGUAUAGGGUGUGACGCCUGCCCGGUGCCGGAAGGUUAAGUGAUGGGGUGCAAGCUCUUGAUCGAAGCCCCGGUAAACGGCGGCCGUAACUAUAACGGUCCUAAGGUAGCGAAAUUCCUUGUCGGGUAAGUUCCGACCUGCACGAAUGGCGUAACGAUGGCCACACUGUCUCCUCCUGAGACUCAGCGAAGUUGAAAUGUUUGUGAAGAUGCAAUCUCCCCGCGGCUAGACGGAAAGACCCCAUGAACCUUUACUGUAGCUUUGCAUUGGACUUUGACGGGACUUGUGUAGGAUAGGUGGGAGGCUAUGAAACCGGGACGCCAGUUCCGGUGGAGCCAUCCUUGAAAUACCACCCUGGUGUCGUCGAGGUUCUAACCCAGGCCUGUGAAUCCAGGUCGGGGACCGUGCAUGGUGGGCAGUUUGACUGGGGCGGUCUCCUCCCAAAAGGUAACGGAGGAGUACGAAGGUCACCUAGGUACGGUCGGACAUCGUACUGAUAGUGCAAUGGCAAAAGGUGGCUUGACUGCGAGACCCACAAGUCGAGCAGGUGCGAAAGCAGGUCAUAGUGAUCCGGUGGUUCUGUAUGGAAGGGCCAUCGCUCAACGGAUAAAAGGUACUCUGGGGAUAACAGGCUGAUUCCGCCCAAGAGUUCACAUCGACGGCGGAGUUUGGCACCUCGAUGUCGGCUCAUCACAUCCUGGGGCUGUAGCCGGUCCCAAGGGUAUGGCUGUUCGCCAUUUAAAGUGGUACGUGAGCUGGGUUUAAAACGUCGUGAGACAGUUUGGUCCCUAUCUGCCGUGGGCGCUGGAAGUUUGAGAGGGCCUGCUCCUAGUACGAGAGGACCGGAGUGGACGCACCCCUGGUGUACCGGUUGUGACGCCAGUCGCAUCGCCGGGUAGCUAUGUGCGGAAGAGAUAACCGCUGAAAGCAUCUAAGCGGGAAACUCGCCUCAAGAUGAGACUUCCCCGGGGCCUCGAGCCCCCUGAAGGGUCGUUGAAGACCACAACGUUGAUAGGCCGGGUGUGUAAGCGUGGCAACACGUUCAGCUAACCGGUACUAAUUGCCCGUGUGGCUUGAUCCUAUAACCUU
Molecule: ribosomal RNA, 2902 nt
Filed under: Thauera sp.
Lineage: Bacteria; Pseudomonadati; Pseudomonadota; Betaproteobacteria; Rhodocyclales; Zoogloeaceae
Description: 23S ribosomal RNA
Rfam family: Bacterial large subunit ribosomal RNA
Source: RNAcentral